UCAGAGGUUCACCUGAGGUGGUACUGGUCGUGGGUGCUGUAGAGUUAACAGGUCAGCGACUCUCCGCCAACUGCGAGUGAUUGUCCUGAGCAUAUUCCAACAAAGUGUGCUCCCAGCAGUUCCAGGACUCCCUCCUCCUUCCUCUGCCAGGGCUCAUUAACGAUGGUUCAGGGUGUGCAUCCACACAGAUGGGGAAUGUGAAAUGUCUUCCUGAUCCUUAUUGGGACCCACUCAAUGAACAUCACACACAUCCCCCAUCACGCCAGUGAAGAGAAGCAGCAGCCUGGACCUCCCUUCCAUGCCUUGAGAAACAGGAGUAGAUAAGAGUGAAUCCAUGCCUGGCCUUCAGCAGCACCAAACCACUACUAUGGACCCUUUCUUCCUGAGGGCUACAUUCUCCUCAGUUGUCCUAUGGCCAAGGUGGCAGGACUAGGCUGGUAGCCAUCAGGAAAGAAGCCAGGUUCAGACAGGAUGAGGUUCAGAGGGUCACGGCUCCAUUUGAAUUGCUGAAACCCUGCAUAAGCUAAUUCAGCCUGCUGAGCAUCUACCAGACUUGGUUCUGUACAGAGACUGAAAGAAAAGACAGAUCAGUGAAAAGACAACAUAAAUCCCAUUUGUCUCUAUUUAAGGGUCAAGCUUGAUUUCAAAAUGGUGGCCAUAGGCAACAGCUCCAGGAACAAACCCUAAGUCCUAGGAAUUAGGCCAUAAGACACCAACUUCAGGAAGAAACCAUAAAAUCCAGAAACAAGGUCGUAAAAACCCCUCCCAAAGAACAGCCUGGGGAUAACCACAAAAAUGGGAAAAUAUCUUAUCGCAGGAUGGGCCAGCUGUGCUGGGCAGCCCUAUCUCCUCCUAUGGUUAAACAUCCAUGACAUAGGGUUGUAGACCACUGGCCACCUGUGAUUCUCUAACACCCA
RNAcentral lists this long non-coding RNA (917 nucleotides) under Mus musculus (house mouse). RNAcentral describes it as "lincRNA-EC114". Lineage: Eukaryota; Metazoa; Chordata; Mammalia; Rodentia; Muridae. The record is from RNAcentral.